GUAUGUGACAAUGAUUUGUCAGGGACAUCUGCCACCUCACUGACUGUCAGGAUUGACCUGGUUGAUCUGUCUGGCUAGGUGGGUGUCCCCUCCUUCCUCAUAGCUCCAGUAUGCUCCAAUAUGCACGGUUGGUCCAGGAGGACAACCUUCUCCAGUAGAUUUCCCUCCAUAGAAGAGCAUGCUUGGGCCAAGAGCAUACACGGAGAUGCACUCUCCAGUCAAACCUUCAAAGAAGCUUUGGAGGUUCAUAAGGGAACCAGGGAGGGCUGAUGGGAGAGCUGGAGGUGGGGGGUACCAAGCCAACGUCU
Cricetulus griseus (Chinese hamster) is the source of this 308-nucleotide unclassified non-coding RNA. Its record names the gene 7SK. It matches the Rfam family "7SK RNA". Rfam says of the family: 7SK was discovered as an abundant small nuclear RNA in the mid-70s but a possible function has only recently been suggested. Lineage: Eukaryota; Metazoa; Chordata; Mammalia; Rodentia; Cricetidae. The record is from Ensembl.